RNAcentral lists this non-coding RNA (45 nucleotides) under Schistosoma mansoni. Lineage: Eukaryota; Metazoa; Platyhelminthes; Trematoda; Strigeidida; Schistosomatidae. The record is from RNAcentral.
AUCCAGCUGACGCGCCCUAAAUAGGACGAAACGCGCGUCCUGGAU